AACGAACGCUGGCGGCGUGCUUAACGCAUGCAAGUCGAACGUGAAAGUCCUUCGGGAUGAGUAAAGUGGCGCACGGGUGAGUAAUACAUAGGAACGUGCCUAAUGGUGGGGAAUAACCACGGGAAACCGUGGCUAAUACCGCAUGAUAUCGCGAGAUCAAAGGGGGCCUAUCCUUGGAAGCUCUCGCCAUUAGAGCGGCCUAUGUCCUAUUAGCUAGUUGGUAGAGUAAAAGCCUACCAAGGCGAUGAUGGGUAACUGGUCUGAGAGGAUGAUCAGUCACACUGGAACUGAGACACGGUCCAGACUCCUACGGGAGGCAGCAGUGGGGAAUCUUGCACAAUGGGCGAAAGCCUGAUGCAGCAACGCCGCGUGGGUGAAGAAGGUUUUCGGAUUGUAAGGCCCUUUCGGCUGGAAAGAAGGGUGGCGUGGUGAAUAUCCGCGUUGCUUGACGGUACCAGAAGAAGAAGCACCGGCUAAUUUCGUGCCAGCAGCCGCCGUAA
This 500-nucleotide ribosomal RNA is filed under the name uncultured bacterium. RNAcentral's name for it is "partial 16S ribosomal RNA". It matches the Rfam family "Bacterial small subunit ribosomal RNA", at positions 29 to 523 of the family's 1533-position model. The record is from RNAcentral.